GCCUCGGUAGCUCAGCCUGGUAGAGCAACGGUCUCGUAAACCGUAGGUCGCGGGUUCAAAGCCCGCCCGGGGCU
Molecule: transfer RNA, 74 nt
Filed under: Candidatus Bathyarchaeota archaeon
Lineage: Archaea; Thermoproteati; Candidatus Bathyarchaeota
Also listed under: 2 other names
Description: tRNA-Thr
Rfam family: tRNA
About the family: Transfer RNA (tRNA) molecules are approximately 80 nucleotides in length. Their secondary structure includes four short double-helical elements and three loops (D, anti-codon, and T loops).
Source: RNAcentral